GCAGCCAGCCUGGGAGAGGACAGUAACACACAGGGUCUAAUUAAAUCCUGCUCCUGCCUCCCAGCCUCCACUGAACACAGGCUGCAGGAGCAGCAUCACUCAGCAGUGCAGGGGGAGAGGCAGGUGACUCCAUCAAAUGAGCAAGGAUGCAGCCUGGGUCCCCAGCUUGGAGUUCCACACACAGGUGGAACCGUCACAAUUUGAGGACACUGUCCCAACAGUCGAUGCAUUUGUCCUAUCUCCGAAGAUGUGAGUGGCAAGCCCACACUCAAAAUUGACAUGUACUGAUGACCCCUUGUCAGAGUUGUUGGAGACUGUGAAUCCAACUGGUUUUUGGAAAUCAGCCGAGCAGGCCGUAUGAAAGUCUUUUUCAUAAGUCUCGGGUUGGAAUGCAGCAAGCUGUGAGGCACAUCAGAUGGACAGGUGAGGACUGAGCACUGGAGGUCGGUUACCGUAAACGGACACCUGGGAGUCUCCGGAAGCGAGGAACUGCAGGGCUAGACGACACUGGGUCUCAAUGAAGGAAGCCAGGGUUCAGCAGUUUUAGUAGCAUGAAGCGGAACUGUGAGACUGGUUGCGAAUCUUGCGUCACUGAAGAUAUUCAGAGAGAAACUGGAUGCUGUAAACAACGCAGUGGAGCACAGAGAAACGAAUGCACACAUUACUGUGUGUAAGACGUUGCACUGGCAAUCUCUUACCCAGAAAUCCUCUGCUUUAUACCUGGAGGCUGGAUCUCAUUGGUCCUGCUGGAACUUGCUGGUUAUUGGUUCUUACAGGUCAGCUGACCCAUCCAAGAUGGCUGCGUCAUUCCCAGACCUACGCAGCUGGAGCCUGUACCAUGGAACACCUCUGCCUCUGCUACCUGCUUCUCCAGCUGUGCCUACAGCCUGCGCCCGCCGCCAGCAGCCUGCGUUCCCUCCCCGUCCUUGAGGGACCCCACCAGAGCGUCCGGACACGUGAGUGCCGGCACUCCCGCAGUUUGUCCUGCUGAGCCAUGAUGCCCAUCGUUCUCAGUAUGGUCAAGAUAAUUGGAGAAAUAUUUGACCAUGGAUAUAUGGAUAUAUCCAGCUGUAAUGUGUUUUUUUAAUAUAAAAAUAGUUAUAAAAUACAGAGAGCCCCUGUAACCCAUUGUACAGCAUUUCUGACUCGGAGUGGCAUAAUAGGUUAAAAGGGUUUUUUAAAUAUUCUGCAGCUGUGUGUCAAAUAAAGAGCUGACAUCCACCCGAGAGUGGAAGAUGUUGACACAUGGAGGGACACACACUGCAUGAUAAUAAUUAAUGUGCACACACACGCUGUAGCAUAAUCUGAAUCCUCCUCCAGGCGCUACACCUGGCAGACGGCUGCAAAAUGUGCCCAAGAGGCUGCUGUACUAUGGCAAAGCUGGAGAAAUGGCUCAUAAUGCAUCACUCUUUCUACAAUAUAUGCCUUUGUUCAUAGACCACCUGGUUUUUCUAACUUCCCUAUUAACUUAACAGUAGUGGCUAGAUCAGAGGUUCUCAAACUCGGUCCUCGGGGGCCCACACAGUGCAUGUUUUGCAGGUCUCCUCACAGAAUCGCAAGUGAAAUAAUUUGCUCCACCUGUGGACCUUUUAAAAUGUGUCAGUGAGUAAUUAAUACACCUGUGCACCUGCUGGGUUACCUGCAAACAGUGGCGGAUCCAGGGGGGGGGGCACUCGGGCCCGUGCCCCCCCUGUCAUUUGUGGCUUCCCCCCCCAUCCCCCGUCCCCC
Molecule: long non-coding RNA, 1728 nt
Organism: Pseudophryne corroboree (corroboree frog)
Lineage: Eukaryota; Metazoa; Chordata; Amphibia; Anura; Myobatrachidae
Exons: 3
Source: RefSeq, a predicted model, not a curated record